GGUGGCUCAGUGGUAGAGUACUUGCUUUCUAUGCAUGAGGUCCUGGGUUAGAUUCCUCGGCACCA
Dipodomys ordii (Ord's kangaroo rat) is the source of this 65-nucleotide non-coding RNA. The record is from Rfam. Lineage: Eukaryota; Metazoa; Chordata; Mammalia; Rodentia; Heteromyidae.